AGAUUGAACGCUGGCGGCAGGCCUAACACAUGCAAAUCGAGCGGUAGAGAGGUGCUUGCAUCUCUUGAGAGCGGCGGACGGGUGAGUAAUGCCUAGGAAUCUGCCUAGUGGUGGGGGAUAACGUUCGGAAACGGACGCUAAUACCGCAUACGUCCUACGGGAGAAAGCGGGGGACCUUCGGGCCUCGCGCCAUUAGAUGAGCCUAGGUCGGAUUAGUUAGUUGGUGAGGUAAUGGCUCACCAAGGCGACGAUCCGUAACUGGUCUGAGAGGAUGAUCAGUCACACUGGAACUGAGACACGGUCCAGACUCCGUACGGGAGCAGCAGUGGGGAAUAGUUGGACAAUGGGACGAAAGCCUGACUCCAGCCAUCGCCGCGUGGUGUAGGAAGAAGGUUCGUUCGGUAUUGACG
This 410-nucleotide ribosomal RNA is filed under the name uncultured soil bacterium. RNAcentral describes it as "bacterial SSU rRNA". It matches the Rfam family "Bacterial small subunit ribosomal RNA", at positions 26 to 434 of the family's 1533-position model. The record is from RNAcentral.